Molecule: long non-coding RNA, 2371 nt
Organism: Xiphophorus couchianus (Monterrey platyfish)
Lineage: Eukaryota; Metazoa; Chordata; Actinopteri; Cyprinodontiformes; Poeciliidae
Exons: 8
Source: RefSeq, a predicted model, not a curated record
AAAUGUCUCCCGAUCUUCUCUACCUACCUUCUUCCUUGUCACCUCUAUAAGAUGCAGACCUAAAUCCAAUAGAAAAUCAAUUGCUAGACUUAAAAUUUUAUUUCCAGAGAUGGUCUCAAUCCAAUCUGACUGAGUGUGAGAAAUGAAGAAGAAUGGCCAGAAAUGCAAUGGGCCAGCAAAGAAGAAUAAGGAAGUGGUGUGUUAUAGUUCCUGCAUGCUUUAUCUGUGGGUGCAGGAACAAGUCAUCAGGUCUGAUUAUAAGGUUUAUGUGAGCGAGUCAGAGUACUGCUGAAGAUGAAGACAAUACUUGUUUUCUGUAAGUAGACUGACAGCAGAUAGAAACAAAAUCUACAUUUUAAUUAUUUUUGCACAAUGGACAUUGAUGUGACUCUACACUUAUUGUCUUCAAGAUAUUUUGCUAAACCAGGUCAUUGGCCAGACAGAAGACAUGUAUCCUGCAAAGAUUCUGGCCCGGCAGAGAACUGUAAGAGAGGGCAGUGACCUUUAUGUAUACUGCAGCAUAUUCGGGCAAAAGAAGUACCCCUCUUUUUAUGUUUAUUUACUGAAAGAUGGACAAGGAUUUCGGAAAUCAAAACAGAAGCAAACUUUGGAUGAUGCUCUUUUCAUAAUAUCUAAUCUUCAUCUUGAUCACAGUGGAAAUUACAGCUGCUUGUACUCCACUACAAAUUACAGCCUUUCUGAUGUAGAAAGGAAAGGACCGUAUGAAGUUGAGAUUCUGGUUAUAGCCAAUUUCAUCCCUGCAAAGCUCUCCAUAGCUGGACCCUUCACAGUUCAUGAGGGAAGCCACGUUGAAUUCAAAUGCACCUUUUCGGAAACCCUGCACACUCUCAAUAACUGUCAACUCAUCUACUGUUACCUGAAGAAGAAUGAGACCAUCCUCCAAAUACAAGUAUUUAAUCUUGCUCAGAUGGAAGCCUCUUUCAGCAUUGAAGGUGCCGUUUCAAGGGAUUCGGGUCCAUAUAGUUGCCUUUUGCUGCCAUCAAAAUGCUUCCAGAAACAAUGGAAUGAGCUGCAAGGAAUAAAUACGGUGAUUCUGGAAGUCAAAGAGGAUUUGAUCCCAUGGGCGGCUUUGUCUUGUGGAUUUACAGUCCUUAUGUUGCUUUUUAGUCUGUGUCUGGGAUGGUUCGUUUACAAAAAUUGCUUCAAACUUUUGCACAAGCCAUGGUGAGUCUUUGUUUAGCUGCACUCCCUGUUGGCAGACGGAAGAAAUUAAAAGGCAGUGAUUGAAUACAAUGUACAUGUAAUACAUAAGGAAGGGUUUGCUUUCUGUUUGAAUUGUGUGUUGUCUCAUUUUGAUAGUGAGCAGCAGAAUACAGAUGUGUUGGCACUGACAGACGUGGAACCACAAGAGGGAUCAGAAGAAGAGAAUUCUUUCAGCAUGGAGAGCGAAGAAGAUUGCUGCAGCACAGCAGCCUCCCCCAAUCCACAGCUGCAUACAGAUGUACUUGGCACAAGUUUUAUACCGAAUGUCCUUCCUGAAGCAACCCACCCUGUUGUCAGCAACAGGGAGUGGGUUUCAAAUGAGGACCAACUUGCAGGGCCACUUGUUGUCGCAUCUGAGCCAUUGACAACCUCAAUAAGAAAUUCACAGUGUUUUGAGACAACAAGGGCCGUCAUCUAUUACUCAAGUGAGAGAAUUUACAGCGUUAUUCCAGAUGAUUCAUCCGCAGGACCAAGUACUUCACGUGUGCUGUACACCACUUCUGUCAUUAAGCAAUAACAGUCUUCAUGAAAGUCAUCAGAACAAGACUUCACCUGAAUGUGAUACAUAAAUCCAUUACAUGCAGGUAUUUUAUUCAUUUCACUUUUGUGCUACUCCAGGACAAUGCAAGAGUGUUGACCUGAUAGAUUUACCCACAAGGACAGUGCAUUGUUCAUACAACUUGAACUUUUCACAUUUUGUCACAUAAUUUCAAAUGACUUCAAAAAUUUAAAAUAAAAUUUAAAUCACAUUUGUUUUGUAUGUGUUGCAAGGAUUUGUAUUGGUUUGUCUCUACCAGUCUUAACGUUGUGCCAGUUCCUUGUAAAACAACUAGAACUCUAUCAAGCUUGGUAGUGACUGUGAAAAUCAAUUUUCAAGCUGUACCAUAGAUUCAAAAUUAGACUUUGGUCUGCACUUUGAUUGGGUAAUUUUAAUAUAUGUUUAGUGUCAUCCUGAUGGAAGGUGAAACUCAGUCUAAAAUCUAUUACAGGCUGCCAAACUUAGCUAAGAAGUUAUAAUAUUGUUAUAGAAGUGAAAUUCACGGUGAACUUCUCCUGGUUACACUGAAGUGAAACUAGACACAAGUGGACUUUGCUUAAGAUAAGAUAAGAUAAGAUAAGAUAAGAUAAGAUAAGAUAAGAUAAGAUA